Molecule: small nuclear RNA, 164 nt
Organism: Esox lucius (northern pike)
Lineage: Eukaryota; Metazoa; Chordata; Actinopteri; Esociformes; Esocidae
Gene: U1
Rfam family: U1 spliceosomal RNA
About the family: U1 is a small nuclear RNA (snRNA) component of the spliceosome (involved in pre-mRNA splicing).
Source: Ensembl
AUACUUACCUGGCAAGGGAGACACCGUGAUCACCAAGGCGGAUCACCCAGGGCGAGGCUCGGCCAUUGCACUGCGGCUGUGCUGACCCCUGCGAAUUUCCCAAAUGUGGAAAUGUUGAUUGCAUAAUUUCUGGUAGUGGGGGACUGCGUUUGCGCUCUCCCCUG